Oryza sativa Japonica Group (Japanese rice) is the source of this 1954-nucleotide long non-coding RNA. RefSeq lists it as uncharacterized. NCBI's taxonomy places the organism in Eukaryota, Viridiplantae, Streptophyta, Magnoliopsida, Poales, Poaceae. The record is from RefSeq and is a predicted model, not a curated record.
GAAGGAAACGCAACAAGCUAAGGUCGGAGGUACACAAACACAAGCCUAGCUUGAAACAUUUCGUAGAGAGAAGCAUGCGGAUCAGGAAGACCACGCUUGCGUUCUUCAUUUGGGCCAUGGCCUUUGGAAUCUUGAUGACUGCCGUCCUUUCACAAGUACCAUGCUGGUGCGGUGUCUGCCCAACCACCACAUGCGACUGCUGCUAGUGGUAGUGUAUUAGUGUUAAUUUCCCUUUUUGUGUUAAUAAGUAAAUUGGUUCCCAAGAUUAUUCAUGGAGGCCGGCCGGUUUACCCAAAUACAUCCAUCAUUCAUCGUGUGUUUGUAAUAUCAGAGUUGUCUUUCUUCCCUGAUGGUGAAAUUACCUUAAAAAACUGUGUGCUUUGUCCAAAUUACAUGCAUGCGGAAUGAUCGGAAAAGUAUAAUAUAUAUGUCGCACGCACCCAACAGGACUCUGUACAUAUAUACCUAGUAUUUGUCCAAGGUGCUCUCCCAUCUGAUAUAAUCAUUUUUUGUGAGUUGUGAUACAUAAAUAUAUAUCCCGGCCGAUCGAUCAAACCUAUGUGCGCAUGAAAGGCUUUCAUGCAUUGGGCCAGAUUAAUCACUCCCAUUCGCAAUAACAACAAUUACGUGCAUCUCCUUGAUCUAUAUAUAUAAACCAAUUGAGAUCGACUAGGAAGGAAACACGCAUGCAACAAGGUCAUCAGAGUUCAGAGGUACACAAAUAAACACAAUCUUAGCUUCAAUUGCGUAACAGUUGGUAAGGAGAGAGAGCGAGUGAGUUGGAAAAGGGAAGCUAAGCAUGCGGAGGAACACCGCGCUUUGCCUUGCUCAUUUGGGCCAUGACCAUGGUGAUGUUCAUGGCUUCUCUCCUUCCAAGAGGUUCAAUCGAUCGCUACUCUCUCGCAUGGUUCUUCUCAUUUCAUUAUUGGAUAUUUUAUGGAUUCGAUCUUAUUCGAACUUAUUAUCAUAUUAUGAUCGAGCAACAAUUAUUGAUCGACAACUAUACCUUUGUUUUUUAAUAAAUAACACAUUUAUUUAUGAUCGUGCUUUUCAUGUCUUAUUUAUGUAAUUACCAUUUAUUUUUAUUGUGAGUUGUUUUCUCACUAAAAGUACUUUAAACAUAAUUUAUAUUUUAUAUAUUUACAUAAAAGUUUUAAUAAGACGUAUAGUUAAAUAUUUAUUCAAAAGUUAAUAGCGUCAUCUAUUUAAAUACAAAGAGAGUAUAUUGAGAAUAUAUAUCUGCUAAUGCAGAGUAUAUUGCUGCCCACAGGGAGUAGUAAUAAUAAUAGUCUUAUCUUUUUGGUUUUUAAUUAAUUUUCAGCUAAUGCACAAUGCCCGUGCAGUUGGUGCCUAUUCGCACCUGAUUGCUAUGACUGCUGCAGAGGAUGACCGCCUUAAUUAAUUCCUUGUGUUAAUAAAGCCAUUUUAUGGAGGUUUAUCCAAAUACUUCAUCCAUCUGAGAAUUAAUAUAUCAAACAUUACGUAUCUAAACACUAGAUGAGACAUCAAACAUUACGUAUCUAAACACUAGAUGAGACUGUCUAGAUACGUGUAGCACUAGGUGACGUACUAUCUAAUUUUAUAUUGUUAUAUUUUAAAAUAGAGGGAGUAUUACAUCCAUCAUUCAUGAGUGUAUAUAUGUUCUGUAAUCUCUAGAGUACCUACGUACGUUGUCUUUCUUAAUAUCCUUGAUGGUGGAAUAUUGAGUUAAUAAAACUGUUAAUUUGCCCAAUUAAACAUGUGGAAUAUAUCUAGAGAUGACAACGGAGAAUUCAUCGUCGGAAAUGCAUCUCCAUCCCCGCCCCCGCAAGACAAAACUUCCCCGUCCCCGUCACCGCGAAACACAACGGGAAAGCUUUGUUACCAUCCCUAUCCCCGCGGUGAUUUCACCCCUGCUUAAAACAAUAUACACAUGUCAAAUUAUAUAUGCAAUACAAUAUAUAUUCGUACUUUA